This 253-nucleotide ribosomal RNA is filed under the name uncultured bacterium. RNAcentral's name for it is "partial 16S ribosomal RNA". It matches the Rfam family "Bacterial small subunit ribosomal RNA", at positions 524 to 776 of the family's 1533-position model. The record is from RNAcentral.
UACGGAGGGUGCAAGCGUUAUCCGGAUUUACUGGGUUUAAAGGGUGUGUAGGCGGGCUUUUAAGUCAGUGGGGAAAUCUCCGGGCUCAACCCGGAAACUGCCAUUGAUACUAUUAGUCUUGAAUUUUGUUGAGGUAGGCGGAAUAAGUCAUGUAGCGGUGAAAUGCUUAGAUAUGACUUAGAACACCAAUUGCGAAGGCAGCUUGCUAAACAAACAUUGACGCUGAGGCACGAAAGCGUGGGGAUCAAGCAGG